AAUAGUACCCGGUAGUCCACGCUGUAAACGUUGGGCGCUAGGUGUGGGGUCUUCCACGAUCUCCGUGCCGGAGCUAACGCAUUAAGCGCCCCGCCUGGGGAGUACGGCCGCAAGGCUAAAACUCAAAGGGAAUUGACGGGGCCCGCACAAGCGGCGGAGCAUGUUGCUUAAUUCGACGCAACGCGAAGAACCUUACCAAGGUUUGACAUCACCCGGACCGGUCUAGAGAUAGAUCUUCCCUUUUGGGCUGGGUGACAGGUGGUGCAUGGCUGUCGUCAGCUCGUGUCGUGAGAUGUUGGGUUAAGUCCCGCAACGAGCGCAACCCUUGCUCCAUGUUGCCAGCAGGCGCUUCGGCGUGCUGGGGACUCAUGGGGGACUGCCGGGGUCAACUCGGAGGAAGGUGGGGAUGACGUCAAGUCAUCAUGCCCCUUAUGUCUUGGGCUGCAAACAUGCUACAAUGGCCGGUACAGAGGGCUGCGAUACCGUGAGGUGGAGCGAAUCCCUAAAAGCCGGUCUCAGUUCGGAUUGGGGUCUG
RNAcentral lists this ribosomal RNA (535 nucleotides) under uncultured bacterium. RNAcentral's name for it is "bacterial SSU rRNA". It matches the Rfam family "Bacterial small subunit ribosomal RNA", at positions 777 to 1307 of the family's 1533-position model. The record is from RNAcentral.